RNAcentral lists this ribosomal RNA (252 nucleotides) under uncultured bacterium. RNAcentral describes it as "partial 16S ribosomal RNA". It matches the Rfam family "Bacterial small subunit ribosomal RNA", at positions 524 to 775 of the family's 1533-position model. The record is from RNAcentral.
UACGAAGGGGGCUAGCGUUGGUCGGAAUUACUGGGCGUAAAGCGUGCGCAGGCGGCUUCCCAAGUCAGUGGUGAAAGCCCGGAGCUCAACUCCGGAACUGCCAUUGAAACUGUGAAGCUCGAGGACGAGAGAGGUGAGUGGAAUUCCCAGUGUAGAGGUGAAAUUCGUAGAUAUUGGGAAGAACACCGGUGGCGAAGGCGGCUCACUGGCUCGUUUCUGACGCUCAUGCACGACAGCGUGGGGAUCAAACAG